CUGUUUGGGAGGUAUGGUUAUAUUGUGUAUCUGGAAUGAAUUUUAGGUCUCUACGUCCAUCCCAUGGGGAAUGGGAGCAGUAACAAAGGUGUUGCGUUUAUAUUUUUGUUGAGUGUAUAUAUAUAUAUAUAUAUACUUUGACUGACCACAUUUUAACCCCAGUGUGUAACAUGCAAUAUAUAAAAUACACAAGGCAUCCUAGGUUCAAUAUUUUUGUUGUAAAAAUAAAAAUUCAAGUAUGAAUUCAGAGGUUUGACGCGCACGGUCUAUGGAUUUUUCCCCUCCUGAAAGGUCCACACACACCCCAGGCAAUCUAAUACUUGUGUUACCUAGACUCCCGAGCUGAGAAAAGCGCUCCCAAAGGGGGUGUUCAGCUUACAAGCCCGAGUUUCAUUACUCAGCAGUAUCUUUUUUCCCCACGGCAGCUAUUGACCCAAAUGUUUCUUUAGGACAGUUUUCAAAGCAAAAAAUAAAUAAAAAAAGAAGAAAGAGUUGUUGCUUAAUCCUUCAGCCAUGUGCUGCUGCUGUAGAGCCUGUACUUUGCAGUUUUGGUAAAAAAAAAAAAUCCAAAAAAAAAUCACGUGUUUGCAUUAUAAAUAGUAGUCACAAGCUGUUUAAAAAUGUAAUUACUGUGAGGUUGAGGGCGAAUAAAGAAGCCAUUGAAAAAACCAGUGAAAAAGAAGCCAGUGAAAAAGAAGCCAGUGAAAAAGAAGCCAUUGAAAAAGCUGCAUGAGGAGGUUUUUUUGGGGGGGGAUUAAACACCAAGUUGUUGUGCUCUAUAAAACUGCAGCAUGUCAUGGUUCUUUCUGCCUGCAAAAUCAGUUUUUUCUUUUUGGCAUUGGAAUAUUGUUGUUCCUGUUUUUGAUAGCACAUUAGCCUCCGACAUGUCUCUGUGGAAUACUUUCAUCUGAAUGUUCACUUUGGAUUAUUGUGUCCGUGAAUGGUUUGCUCCUCAUUCUCACACGAGUUCUAGGAAUGUGGCCGAACAAUGUGGUGUGUGGUUAAACCG
Astatotilapia calliptera (eastern happy) is the source of this 1009-nucleotide long non-coding RNA. Lineage: Eukaryota; Metazoa; Chordata; Actinopteri; Cichliformes; Cichlidae. The record is from Ensembl.